GAUGAACGCUAGCUACAGGCUUAACACAUGCAAGUCGAGGGGUGACAAGAGAAAAGCUUGCUUUUCCUGUUGACGACCGGCGCACGGGUGAGUAACGCGUAUCCAACCUGCCUAUAACUAGGGAAUAACCUUGCGAAAGUAAGACUAAUACCCUAUGAUUUCCUUUGAUGACAUCAGAUUAGGAAUAAAGAUUUAUCGGUUAUAGAUGGGGAUGCGUCUGAUUAGCUUGUUGGCGGGGUAACGGCCCACCAAGGCAACGAUCAGUAGGGGUUCGAAGAGGAAGGUCCCCCACAUUGGAACUGGGACACGGUCCAAACUCCUACGGGAGGCAGCAGUGAGGAAUAUUGGUCAAUGGGCGGAAGCCUGAACCAGCCAAGUAGCGUGCAGGAUGACGGCCCUAUGGGUUGUAAACUGCUUUUAUACAGGAAUAAAGUUAGCCACGUGUGGUUAUUUGUAGGUACUGUAUGAAUAAGGACCGGCUAAUUCCGUGCCAGCCGCCGCGGUAA
This 506-nucleotide ribosomal RNA is filed under the name uncultured bacterium. RNAcentral's name for it is "partial 16S ribosomal RNA". It matches the Rfam family "Bacterial small subunit ribosomal RNA", at positions 28 to 523 of the family's 1533-position model. The record is from RNAcentral.